GCUUGCUGGUCCCGGAUGAUUCAUAGUAAAUGAACGGAGCGUAUGGCUUGUGCCGACGCUGUGUCAUUCAAGUUUCUGACCUAUCAGCUAUCGACGGUAGGGUAUUGGCCUACCGUGGCAUUGACGGGUAACGGAGAAUUAGGGUUCGAUUCCGGAGAGGGAGCCCGAGAAACGGCUAUCACAUCUAAGGAAGGCAGCAGGCGCGCAAAUUACCCAAUCCAGACACAGGGAGGUAGUGACAAGAAAUAACAAAGCAAGGCGAAAUUUCGCUUUUGCUAUUGGAAUGAGUAGAAUUUAAAUCCCUUUACGACUAUCAAUUGGAGGGCAAGUCUGGUGCCAGCAGCCGCGGUAAUUCCAGCUCCAAUAGCGUAUAUUAAAGUUGUUGCGGUUAAAAAGCUCGUAGUUGGAUUUCUGUCGAGGGUGGCCGGUCCGCACUUUGUGCGUGCAUCUGGUUCAGCCUUGGCAUCCUCGUGAGGAACGUAUCUGCGCUUAAUUGCG
Molecule: ribosomal RNA, 498 nt
Filed under: uncultured marine Syndiniales
Lineage: Eukaryota; Dinophyceae; Syndiniales
Description: SSU rRNA
Rfam family: Eukaryotic small subunit ribosomal RNA
Source: RNAcentral